GAACGAUGAAGCCUUUCGGGGUGGAUUAGUGGCGAACGGGUGAGUAACACGUGGGCAAUCUGCCCUUCACUCUGGGACAAGCCCUGGAAACGGGGUCUAAUACCGGAUAACACUCUGUCCCGCAUGGGACGGGGUUAAAAGCUCCGGCGGUGAAGGAUGAGCCCGCGGCCUAUCAGCUUGUUGGUGGGGUAAUGGCCUACCAAGGCGACGACGGGUAGCCGGCCUGAGAGGGCGACCGGCCACACUGGGACUGAGACACGGCCCAGACUCCUACGGGAGGCAGCAGUGGGGAAUAUUGCACAAUGGGCGAAAGCCUGAUGCAGCGACGCCGCGUGAGGGAUGACGGCCUUCGGGUUGUAAACCUCUUUCAGCAGGGAAGAAGCGAAAGUGACGGUACCUGCAGAAGAAGCGCCGGCUAACUACGUGCCAGCAGCCGCGGUAAUACGUAGGGCGCAAGCGUUGUCCGGAAUUAUUGGGCGUAAAGAGCUCGUAGGCGGCUUGUCACGUCGGAUGUGAAAGCCCGGGGCUUAACCCCGGGUCUGCAUUCGAUACGGGCUAGCUAGAGUGUGGUAGGGGAGAUCGGAAUUCCUGGUGUAGCGGUGAAAUGCGCAGAUAUCAGGAGGAACACCGGUGGCGAAGGCGGAUCUCUGGGCCAUUACUGACGCUGAGGAGCGAAAGCGUGGGGAGCGAACAGGAUUAGAUACCCUGGUAGUCCACGCCGUAAACGUUGGGAACUAGGUGUUGGCGACAUUCCACGUCGUCGGUGCCGCAGCUAACGCAUUAAGUUCCCCGCCUGGGGAGUACGGCCGCAAGGCUAAAACUCAAAGGAAUUUGACGGGGGCCCGCACAAGCAGCGGAGCAUGUGGCUUAAUUCGACGCAACGCGAAGAACCUUACCAAGGCUUGACAUAUACCGGAAAGCAUCAGAGAUGGUGCCCCCCUUGUGGUCGGUAUACAGGUGGUGCAUGGCUGUCGUCAGCUCGUGUCGUGAGAUGUUGGGUUAAGUCCCGCAACGAGCGCAACCCUUGUUCUGUGUUGCCAGCAUGCCCUUCGGGGUGAUGGGGACUCACAGGAGACUGCCGGGGUCAACUCGGAGGAAGGUGGGGACGACGUCAAGUCAUCAUGCCCCUUAUGUCUUGGGCUGCACACGUGCUACAAUGGCCGGUACAAUGAGCUGCGAUGCCGCGAGGCGGAGCGAAUCUCAAAAAGCCGGUCUCAGUUCGGAUUGGGGUCUGCAACUCGACCCCAUGAAGUCGGAGUUGCUAGUAAUCGCAGAUCAGCAUUGCUGCGGUGAAUACGUUCCCGGGCCUUGUACACACCGCCCGUCACGUCACGAAAGUCGGUAACACCCGAAGCCGGUGGCCCAACCCCUUGUGGGAGGGAGCUGUCGAAGGUGGGACUGGCGAUGGGACGAAGUC
RNAcentral lists this ribosomal RNA (1417 nucleotides) under Streptomyces sp. 0609ALT8H9-WH. Its description in RNAcentral is "bacterial SSU rRNA". It matches the Rfam family "Bacterial small subunit ribosomal RNA". The record is from RNAcentral. Lineage: Bacteria; Bacillati; Actinomycetota; Actinomycetes; Kitasatosporales; Streptomycetaceae.